This 323-nucleotide unclassified non-coding RNA is filed under the name Hevea brasiliensis (rubber tree). The record is from RNAcentral. Lineage: Eukaryota; Viridiplantae; Streptophyta; Magnoliopsida; Malpighiales; Euphorbiaceae.
AAAAAAAAAAAAAACUGAAAAGGUUGCAAAGGGCAACUCUUAUGACAAAAUAAAAAUCCAUGGACAGUGUGAGAGGCGGGGUUCCAUUCUGAUAUUUAUUUUGUGUGAACUGGAGAAAUUAGUUCGUAUCACAUGUAAAUGUAAAUCUCAUUGCAAAAUGUUGAUACUAUAAAGGUUGAGAUAACUUGCUAAUUGACAUUAUGUAGUUUUUUGUUAUGUGGCAGUAUUUUCCCUGGAUCUGAUUUCUCACUUUUAUGAUAUUGAUAUGUUUCUAUUAAUUUGUGCAAAAUGUGUUUUCUCUUAUUUUUGUUUUCUUAUUUUUU